RNAcentral lists this transfer RNA (87 nucleotides) under Clostridiaceae bacterium. RNAcentral's name for it is "tRNA-Leu". It matches the Rfam family "tRNA". From Rfam's summary of the family: Transfer RNA (tRNA) molecules are approximately 80 nucleotides in length. Their secondary structure includes four short double-helical elements and three loops (D, anti-codon, and T loops). Further hydrogen bonds mediate the characteristic L-shaped molecular structure. tRNAs have two regions of fundamental functional importance: the anti-codon, which is responsible for specific mRNA codon recognition, and the 3' end, to which the tRNAs corresponding amino acid is attached (by aminoacyl-tRNA synthetases). tRNAs cope with the degeneracy of the genetic code in two manners: having more than one tRNA (with a specific anti-codon) for a particular amino acid; and 'wobble' base-pairing, i.e. permitting non-standard base-pairing at the 3rd anti-codon position. RNAcentral also lists the same sequence under 1 other name. Lineage: Bacteria; Bacillati; Bacillota; Clostridia; Eubacteriales; Clostridiaceae. The record is from RNAcentral.
GCGGAAAUGGCGGAAUUGGCAGACGCGCUAGUUUCAGGUACUAGUGAUCAGUAGAUCAUGCAGGUUCAAGUCCUGUUUUCCGCACCA